Long non-coding RNA from Urocitellus parryii (Arctic ground squirrel), 915 nucleotides. RefSeq lists it as uncharacterized. Lineage: Eukaryota; Metazoa; Chordata; Mammalia; Rodentia; Sciuridae. The record is from RefSeq and is a predicted model, not a curated record.
GUGAACUAGCUGACACUGGUAAAGCACAUUGCCCCGGGGAUGGCCCGACGCACUUGAACUUCGUGCCAGCACCGCUCCGAUGAGAUCAUUGCAUUUGGAGCCAACUCCAGACGAGGAUCGCGGAUGGGAAGGAAACCUCCAGGCCCUUCCCUCCACCCCCACAGGCUGCACCUCGGGAAGGGCGGGAACAGGGGCCAGGCCGGGCCGGUCAGCUCCCAGGGUGUCAGCCCUCCUCACUCUUGGCGCAUGUGGUUCAAGGGGACCACCCUCCCCAACUUUCCCGAAAGCCCACCUGACCCCAGGGCCAGCCAAUCAGAGCUCACUCACCCCACUCCUCACCCCACCACUGGUUCAGGAAGAUGAACCAGGGAUAUGGGAAGACAUAAGCCAGGUCCCUCAGCAGCAACCCCAGGACCUUAGCUAAGGCUGAGCCACUGGAAGAUGCCUCCUUCCCCUGAGUGGAGACAGACUGGGAGGAAGAUGGCCUGGAGAUGCUGGCAGCCACUCGAUGCCACCACAAGGUUGUCCGUGAGCACCCCGUCCCUUGGCCCUCUCCAGCACUGGCGGUUUGCGUAAGUGAGAAGAGAACAGGCGUCAAGCUGGGCAACACCAACUAACCCGGGUCUGCUGGAUGUCCCGUGUUUAUCUUUCUGAUUGUUCUCUUCUCAUGGCGACCGAUCGUUCACGUAUGCAUUUGACAUCUUCCUUGAGCAUGCUUGUGUGCCAGGCACCGUCUCAGGCCCAGGGACGCACAAGUCAACGAACACCUCUUGUCAUGUUGGUGCGGGGAACCGAGCAGUUGGUGUAGCUCGUGGUUCAAAUCCUGGCCCAGCCAUUCGCCAGCUGUUAACCUCAGGCAAGUGGCUCAACCUCUCGGGCCUCAGCUUCCUAACCCAUCAGGUGAUACGUCAGGAG